GUGUUCAAUGAAAGGAAAGGUAGUGCUCCCCUUGACAAGCCCUUGGGUCUAACAGCACUCAUAUGGUUAAAGCAUUGCCACCUACUUUGUGGCAUCUAAUCACUAUUUUUG
RNAcentral lists this non-coding RNA (111 nucleotides) under Nannospalax galili (Upper Galilee mountains blind mole rat). Lineage: Eukaryota; Metazoa; Chordata; Mammalia; Rodentia; Spalacidae. The record is from RNAcentral.